Molecule: long non-coding RNA, 210 nt
Filed under: Lathyrus oleraceus (garden pea)
Lineage: Eukaryota; Viridiplantae; Streptophyta; Magnoliopsida; Fabales; Fabaceae
Description: Pisum sativum (pea) long non-coding RNA (PSAT_LNC011989)
Source: RNAcentral
AACAUGUGCAUCUCUUCCUCAGAAGACACCCAUAACGACCUCCAUUGGCCUCAGCCAAAGUCUAAGGUGACACAUGAACAGAAGAUAAUCCUGAGGACCUCAUCCCGAAUAUAAUCUUCAACUCCAAUCUCUAUUUGGACCCCGAUCUCCAGAAAAUGCCUCAACACUUCCUUUUCUCCAAUUGAACCCCGAUCUCCAGAAAAUGCCUCA